This 127-nucleotide ribosomal RNA is filed under the name Myxococcota bacterium. RNAcentral's name for it is "partial 16S ribosomal RNA". It matches the Rfam family "Bacterial small subunit ribosomal RNA", at positions 1 to 129 of the family's 1533-position model. Lineage: Bacteria; Pseudomonadati; Myxococcota. The record is from RNAcentral.
CAACUGGAGAGUUUGAUCCUGGCUCAGAACGAACGUUAGCGGCGCGCCUAACACAUGCAAGUCGCACGAGAAAGGGCUUCGGCCCCGGUACAGUGGCGCACGGGUGAGUAACACGUGGGUAACGUUC